UGAAUCAACAGGAUGUCCUUGAAGGG
Molecule: non-coding RNA, 26 nt
Filed under: Mus musculus (house mouse)
Lineage: Eukaryota; Metazoa; Chordata; Mammalia; Rodentia; Muridae
Source: RNAcentral